GACGAACGCUGGCGGCGUGCUUAACACAUGCAAGUCGAACGGAAAGGCCCUGCUUUUGUGGGGUGCUCGAGUGGCGAACGGGUGAGUAACACGUGAGUAACCUGCCCUUGACUUUGGGAUAACUUCAGGAAACUGGGGCUAAUACCGGAUAGGAGCUCCUGCUGCAUGGUGGGGGUUGGAAAGUUUCGGCGGUUGGGGAUGGACUCGCGGCUUAUCAGCUUGUUGGUGGGGUAGUGGCUUACCAAGGCUUUGACGGGUAGCCGGCCUGAGAGGGUGACCGGCCACAUUGGGACUGAGAUACGGCCCAGACUCCUACGGGAGGCAGCAGCGGGGAAUAUUGCACAAUGGGCGGAAGCCUGAUGCAGCAACGCCGCGUGCGGGAUGACGGCCUUCGGGUUGUAAACCGCUUUCGCCUGUGACGAAGCGUGAGUGACGGUAAUGGGUAAAGAAGCACCGGCUAACUACGUGCCAGCAGCCGCGGUGAUACGUAGGGUGCGAGCGUUGUCCGGAUUUAUUGGGCGUAAAGGGCUCGUAGGUGGUUGAUCGCGUCGGAAGUGUAAUCUUGGGGCUUAACCCUGAGCGUGCUUUCGAUACGGGUUGACUUGAGGAAGGUAGGGGAGAAUGGAAUUCCUGGUGGAGCGGUGGAAUGCGCAGAUAUCAGGAGGAACACCAGUGGCGAAGGCGGUUCUCUGGGCCUUUCCUGACGCUGAGGAGCGAAAGCGUGGGGAGCGAACAGGCUUAGAUACCCUGGUAGUCCACGCUGUAAACGGUGGGUACUAGGUGUGGGGUCCAUUCCACGGGUUCCGUGCCGUAGCUAACGCUUUAAGUACCCCGCCUGGGGAGUACGGCCGCAAGGCUAAAACUCAAAGGAAUUGAUGGGGCCCCGCACAAGCGGCGGAGCAUGCGGAUUAAUUCGAUGCAACGCGUAGAACCUUACCUGGGUUUGACAUGGAUCGGGAGUGCUCAGAGAUGGGUGUGCCUCUUUUGGGGUCGGUUCACAGGUGGUGCAUGGCUGUCGUCAGCUCGUGUCGUGAGAUGUUGGGUUAAGUCCCGCAACGAGCGCAACCCUUGUUCACUGUUGCCAGCACGUUAUGGUGGGGACUCAGUGGAGACCGCCGGGGUCAACUCGGAGGAAGGUGGGGAUGACGUCAAGUCAUCAUGCCCCUUAUGUCCAGGGCUUCACGCAUGCUACAAUGGCUGGUACAGAGAGUGGCGAGCCUGUGAGGGUGAGCGAAUCUCGGAAAGCCGGUCUCAGUUCGGAUUGGGGUCUGCAACUCGACCUCAUGAAGUCGGAGUCGCUAGUAAUCGCAGAUCAGCAACGCUGCGGUGAAUACGUUCCCGGGGCU
Molecule: ribosomal RNA, 1346 nt
Filed under: uncultured bacterium
Lineage: Bacteria
Description: partial 16S ribosomal RNA
Rfam family: Bacterial small subunit ribosomal RNA
Source: RNAcentral